This 310-nucleotide unclassified non-coding RNA is filed under the name Hevea brasiliensis (rubber tree). The record is from RNAcentral. Lineage: Eukaryota; Viridiplantae; Streptophyta; Magnoliopsida; Malpighiales; Euphorbiaceae.
AAUGCAAUUUGAUCUUAGUAGGAGUUAAUUAAUUAAUUGGCAAUAUAUAUACUAUAUUUUGUUUAUAUAUAUUGAUCUGUUGCUGCAGUUGAAGCACACUUCAAAGAGGGAUCANNNNNNNNCACAUAAUUAUCAGAUGCAUUUCCUGGAGAGGGACAUUAAUUCAAUAGACGUCUAAAUUAGUGCACACAAACGUUCAUUGCUCUUGACUGGCCGUAACUUUCUUUGGAAAUUACUUUAAUAAGACUACCUUAAUUAAUUUUAUGUUUGCUGAAAUUGCAUGAUCAAUUUAGGCACAUAUAUGUUUUGU